GCGCCCGUAGCUCAGCGGAUAGAGUGCCUGACUACGAAUCAGUAGGCCGCAGGUUCAAUUCCUGCCGGGCGCACCA
Molecule: transfer RNA, 76 nt
Filed under: Bacillota bacterium
Lineage: Bacteria; Bacillati; Bacillota
Description: tRNA-Arg
Rfam family: tRNA
About the family: Transfer RNA (tRNA) molecules are approximately 80 nucleotides in length. Their secondary structure includes four short double-helical elements and three loops (D, anti-codon, and T loops).
Source: RNAcentral